AUUAUACCGCGAAACUGCGAAUGGCUCAUUAAAUCAGUUAUCGUUUAUUUGAUAGUACCUUACUACUUGGAUAACCGUGGUAAUUCUAGAGCUAAUACAUGCUAAAAAUCCCGACUUCGGAAGGGAUGUGUUUAUUAGAUUAAAAACCAAUGCCCUUCGGGGCUCACUGGUGAUUCAUGAUAACCUCUCGAAUCGCAUGGCCUUGCGCCGGCGAUGGUUCAUUCAAAUUUCUGCCCUAUCAACUUUCGAUGGCUGGGUCUUGGCCAGCCAUGGUGACAACGGGUAACGGAGGGUUAGGGCUCGACCCCGGAGAAGAAGCAUGAGAAUCGGCUUCUACAUCCAAGGAAGGCAGCAGGCGCGCAAAUUACCCAAUCCCGACUCGGGGAGGUAGUGACAAUAAAUACUGAUACAGGGCUCUUUUGGGUCUUGUAAUUGGAAUGAGUACAAUUUAAAUCCCUUAACGAGGAACAAUUGGAGGGCAAGUCUGGUGCCAGCAGCCGCGGUAAUUCCAGCUCCAAUAGCGUAUAUUAAAGUUGUUGCAGUUAAAAAGCUCGUAGUUGAACCUUGGGCCUGGCUGGCCGGUCCGCCUCACCGCGUGCACUGGUCCGGCCGGGCCUUUCCCUCUGGGGAACCGCAUGUCCUUCACUGGGCGUGCUGGGGAACCAGGACUUUUACUUUGAAAAAAUUAGAGUGUUCAAAGCAGGCCUAUGCUCGAAUACAUUAGCAUGGAAUAAUAGAAUAGGACGUGCGGUUCUAUUUUGUUGGUUUCUAGGACCGCCGUAAUGAUUAAUAGGGACAGUCGGGGGCAUCAGUAUUCAAUUGUCAGAGGUGAAAUUCUUGGAUUUAUUGAAGACUAACUACUGCGAAAGCAUUUGCCAAGGAUGUUUUCAUUAAUCAGGAACGAAAGUUAGGGGAUCGAAGACGAUCAGAUACCGUCGUAGUCUUAACCAUAAACUAUGCCGACUAGGGAUCGGACGAUGUUAUUUUUUGACUCGUUCGGCACCUUACACGAAAGUACAAG
This 1021-nucleotide ribosomal RNA is filed under the name Pleurophragmium naviculare. RNAcentral's name for it is "SSU rRNA". It matches the Rfam family "Eukaryotic small subunit ribosomal RNA", at positions 73 to 1103 of the family's 1831-position model. The record is from RNAcentral. Lineage: Eukaryota; Fungi; Ascomycota; Sordariomycetes.